Molecule: ribosomal RNA, 1219 nt
Filed under: Acinetobacter baumannii
Lineage: Bacteria; Pseudomonadati; Pseudomonadota; Gammaproteobacteria; Moraxellales; Moraxellaceae
Description: bacterial SSU rRNA
Rfam family: Bacterial small subunit ribosomal RNA
Source: RNAcentral
UUUAACUGAAGAGUUUGAUCAUGGCUCAGAUUGAACGCUGGCGGCAGGCUUAACACAUGCAAGUCGAGCGGGGGAAGGUAGCUUGCUACUGGACCUAGCGGCGGACGGGUGAGUAAUGCUUAGGAAUCUGCCUAUUAGUGGGGGACAACAUCUCGAAAGGGAUGCUAAUACCGCAUACGUCCUACGGGAGAAAGCAGGGGAUCUUCGGACCUUGCGCUAAUAGAUGAGCCUAAGUCGGAUUAGCUAGUUGGUGGGGUAAAGGCCUACCAAGGCGACGAUCUGUAGCGGGUCUGAGAGGAUGAUCCGCCACACUGGGACUGAGACACGGCCCAGACUCCUACGGGAGGCAGCAGUGGGGAAUAUUGGACAAUGGGGGGAACCCUGAUCCAGCCAUGCCGCGUGUGUGAAGAAGGCCUUAUGGUUGUAAAGCACUUUAAGCGAGGAGGAGGCUACUUUAGUUAAUACCUAGAGAUAGUGGACGUUACUCGCAGAAUAAGCACCGGCUAACUCUGUGCCAGCAGCCGCGGUAAUACAGAGGGUGCGAGCGUUAAUCGGAUUUACUGGGCGUAAAGCGUGCGUAGGCGGCUUAUUAAGUCGGAUGUGAAAUCCCCGAGCUUAACUUGGGAAUUGCAUUCGAUACUGGUGAGCUAGAGUAUGGGAGAGGAUGGUAGAAUUCCAGGUGUAGCGGUGAAAUGCGUAGAGAUCUGGAGGAAUACCGAUGGCGAAGGCAGCCAUCUGGCCUAAUACUGACGCUGAGGUACGAAAGCAUGGGGAGCAAACAGGAUUAGAUACCCUGGUAGUCCAUGCCGUAAACGAUGUCUACUAGCCGUUGGGGCCUUUGAGGCUUUAGUGGCGCAGCUAACGCGAUAAGUAGACCGCCUGGGGAGUACGGUCGCAAGACUAAAACUCAAAUGAAUUGACGGGGGCCCGCACAAGCGGUGGAGCAUGUGGUUUAAUUCGAUGCAACGCGAAGAACCUUACCUGGCCUUGACAUACUAGAAACUUUCCAGAGAUGGAUUGGUGCCUUCGGGAAUCUAGAUACAGGUGCUGCAUGGCUGUCGUCAGCUCGUGUCGUGAGAUGUUGGGUUAAGUCCCGCAACGAGCGCAACCCUUUUCCUUACUUGCCAGCAUUUCGGAUGGGAACUUUAAGGAUACUGCCAGUGACAAACUGGAGGAAGGCGGGGACGACGUCAAGUCAUCAUGGCCCUUACGGCCAGGG